GAGGGUAUAGCUCAGUGAUAGAGAGCAUGCUUAGCAUGCACGAGGUCAUGGGUUCAAUCCUCAGUACCUCCA
This 72-nucleotide transfer RNA is filed under the name Camelus bactrianus (Bactrian camel). It matches the Rfam family "tRNA". From Rfam's summary of the family: Transfer RNA (tRNA) molecules are approximately 80 nucleotides in length. Their secondary structure includes four short double-helical elements and three loops (D, anti-codon, and T loops). The record is from Rfam by way of RNAcentral. Lineage: Eukaryota; Metazoa; Chordata; Mammalia; Artiodactyla; Camelidae. RNAcentral also lists the same sequence under 2 other names.